UUGGUGGGUGGGGGAAGGGUGGGCAGGGCAGGGCCACAGGGGGUUAAUAUAAGUUUUUUUUUUAAUUUAACGGGAAAGGGUAAAAUGGUAAGUGUGGGUAUUUUUUUAAGUUUUUAUUUUAGUGGGUAAUUUUUAAGUUACUAAAAGAAAUUGGCUAUUUUCAAAAUCCACUCUAUAAAAAAGUUGUAAAAUUUUAACAAAGUGAAAGAAAAUAAAACAUUUUAAAAUUUUAAUAACCUAUUCGUUUUAAAUUCAUUUUUGAUGAUUUGCACACCAUAUUAAAGAUUUUGUUACGAACUUAAACUUAAGAUGCAU
Molecule: long non-coding RNA, 315 nt
Filed under: Salvia miltiorrhiza (redroot sage)
Lineage: Eukaryota; Viridiplantae; Streptophyta; Magnoliopsida; Lamiales; Lamiaceae
Description: long non-coding RNA (SMIL_LNC011565)
Source: RNAcentral